Small nucleolar RNA from Apodemus sylvaticus (European woodmouse), 127 nucleotides. RefSeq annotates it as small nucleolar RNA SNORA17. The transcript has a single exon. Lineage: Eukaryota; Metazoa; Chordata; Mammalia; Rodentia; Muridae. The record is from RefSeq and is a predicted model, not a curated record.
CUUGCCCUAGAAGCCUUGCAGAUGUGGCUGCCAUGUAUAUCAGUAGUUGGCAGAUAGGAGAGAAGCUACAUCUGUGGUCAAUGUUCUGACCUAUUUAUUACAUCUGAACGAUUAGUAGCCUAACAUU